UACGGAGGGGGUUAGCGUUGUUCGGAAUUACUGGGCGUAAAGCGCACGUAGGCGGAUCAAUAAGUUAGAGGUGAAAUCCCAGGGCUCAACCCUGGAACUGCCUUUAAUACUGUUGGUCUAGAGUUCGAGAGAGGUAAGUGGAAUUCCGGGUGUAGAGGUGAAAUUCGUAGAUAUUCGGAGGAACACCAGUGGCGAAGGCGGCUUACUGGCUCGAUACUGACGCUGAGGUGCGAAAGUGUGGGGAGCAAACAGG
This 253-nucleotide ribosomal RNA is filed under the name uncultured bacterium. Its description in RNAcentral is "partial 16S ribosomal RNA". It matches the Rfam family "Bacterial small subunit ribosomal RNA", at positions 524 to 776 of the family's 1533-position model. The record is from RNAcentral.